Molecule: ribosomal RNA, 446 nt
Filed under: uncultured bacterium
Lineage: Bacteria
Description: SSU rRNA
Rfam family: Bacterial small subunit ribosomal RNA
Source: RNAcentral
AGAACGAACGCUGGCGGCAGGCUUAACACAUGCAAGUCGAACGCGUGUAGCAAUACACGAGUGGCGCACGGGUGAGUAACGCGUGGAUAUCUGCCUUUUGGUUCGGAAUAACCCCGGGAAACUGGGGCUAAUACCGGAUGGUUCCUACGGGAUAAAGAUUUAUCGCCAAAAGAUGAGUCCGCGUCCGAUUAGCUAGUUGGUGGGGUAAUGGCCUACCAAGGCGACGAUCGGUAGCUGGUCUGAGAGGACGAUCAGCCACACUGGGACUGAGACACGGCCCAGACUCCUACGGGAGGCAGCAGUUGGGAAUCUUGGACAAUGGGGAAACCCUGAUCCAGCCAUGCCGCGUGAGUGAUGAAGGCCUUCGGGUUGUAAAACUCUUUCGACGGGACGAUAAUGACGGUACCCGUAGAAGAAGCUCCGGCUAACUUCGUGCCAGCAGCCGC